GUUGGUUUACUAGAACUCUUGACAAAAAAUCUACCAACGUAUCUAGAUAAAGAACAAAGAUGUAUAUAUAUUACUCAAAGACCCCAAUGUAGGGUUAAAAUCUACCAACUAUGGUUAAAAGCCCAAUCCAUAUGUAUGUAAUGAUUUGAAAGACCAAAAAAGUAGGCCUGUAAAUGAACCGAACAAACACGAACAGAGGCAUGUUUGUGUUCGUUCUUUUAACUUUAACCGAACACGAACAUAUAAUCCAACACAUUUUU
RNAcentral lists this long non-coding RNA (260 nucleotides) under Helianthus annuus (common sunflower). Its description in RNAcentral is "sRNA HanXRQr2_Chr07g0303971". Lineage: Eukaryota; Viridiplantae; Streptophyta; Magnoliopsida; Asterales; Asteraceae. The record is from RNAcentral.